CGGAAACUUCGCUCAGAGAAGUAUUAACAGGCGAUUGGUGGACAGUCCUUCCACUUCGCCCACCCCCACAACCCCCUCCCCCCGCCGCACCUUCACCCACUCUGAAAAGGUCAAUCGUAUCUCGUUGUUCAGUGAUCCGGGAGGUGGAAGGCUAUUGGUUCAGGGAGCCCGUCAGACCGGACUGGAGUGAGCCGUGAUUGGUCGACAGAGGCGCAAUCAGCCAUCCAUGUAAGAUGUUACUUACUCCUCCUUGCCUUCCACCAUGAUUGUGAGGCCUCCCCAGCCAUGUGGAACUAGUCAAGAAAACUUUGCUUUUGACUUAUUUACAGCUAGUCACAAUUGAGUGAAGUAUACUCCUGUAAACAAAUUUGGAUUUCUCUCUCUCAGUCUGAUUUCUCCAGAAUGUGGAAACUAUUUAAACAGACUGCAGAUUGAAUUCCUACAUAGGCAAUUCCAGAAUUCUUACGAGACAUGCAUUAGGACAUCAGCAACAGGUAUCAUCUAGUGAACUGUUCAGAUGCAACUGAAUUGAAAAGGAGCUGAACAAAAGAUCCUGAUAGAGACUUCAACAAAAAGUAAAAUGGAUUUUAUCAUACUUGGAAAAUCAACAAUUGCAGUCUGGAUUCAUACAUCACUGUCUGAUGCACCCAACUUGAGUCAAAAAGAUGUUUCAAAUCCCACUAGGCUGGAGGCAAAAAUACUCAAGAGUUUAAGAGCGUCUCUUGACAGUGUACAGAAUAAGAUAGCUUCUCAGCUUUCAGCUUUACUUCACGGUUUUAACUAUCAAAAGAAGCGAGCCAUCUGAAGAUUUGCCUGAGACUGAAGGAUCCACUUCUGCGACGACUCCCUCAGGACUUAUAAUGCAGAUGGAACCAGAUUGAGAAAAACCAACCAACCAACCAACCAACCAACCAACCAACCAACCAACCGACAAACAUGAUGGCUGAACCAGACAAGAGAAGUCCUGAAGUAAAAUACCCAUCAAUUACCAGAAUCUGUGCCUGUCAUACAUCGAAGGUAUUGUAUCCAUGAUGGCAUGCUGCUUUUUGUGGUGUUUUGAUUGACGUCACAAUAUCCCAGCAGUUCUUCCACAGCCAUUCUGAGAUAGCAUCCAGAAAUCAAUGAAACAUCAGAAUAGGAA
Gorilla gorilla gorilla (western lowland gorilla) is the source of this 1141-nucleotide long non-coding RNA. RefSeq lists it as uncharacterized. The transcript has 8 exons. The record is from RefSeq and is a predicted model, not a curated record. NCBI's taxonomy places the organism in Eukaryota, Metazoa, Chordata, Mammalia, Primates, Hominidae.